GCACAAGCGGUGGAGCAUGUGGUUUAAUUCGACGCAACGCGAAGAACCUUACCUGGGCUCGAAAUGUAGUGGACCGGGGUAGAAAUAUCCCUUCCUAGCAAUAGGCUGCUAUAUAGGUGCUGCAUGGCUGUCGUCAGCUCGUGUCGUGAGAUGUUGGGUUAAGUCCCGCAACGAGCGCAACCCUUAUUACCAGUUGCUACCAUUUAGUUGAGCACUCUGGUGAGACCGCCUCGGAUAACGGGGAGGAAGGCGGGGAUGACGUCAAGUCCUCAUGGCCUUUAUGUCCAGGGCUACACACGUGCUACAAUGGCCGGUACAAACCGUCGCAAACCCGCGAGGGGGAGCUAAUCGGAAAAAGCCGGCCUCAGUUCGGAUUAGAGUCUGCAACUCGACUCUAUGAAGCUGGAAUCGCUAGUAAUCGCGGAUCAGAAUGCCGCGGUGAAUACGUUCCCGGGC
RNAcentral lists this ribosomal RNA (456 nucleotides) under uncultured bacterium. RNAcentral describes it as "bacterial SSU rRNA". It matches the Rfam family "Bacterial small subunit ribosomal RNA", at positions 923 to 1379 of the family's 1533-position model. The record is from RNAcentral.